Molecule: unclassified non-coding RNA, 219 nt
Filed under: Hevea brasiliensis (rubber tree)
Lineage: Eukaryota; Viridiplantae; Streptophyta; Magnoliopsida; Malpighiales; Euphorbiaceae
Source: RNAcentral
AGGUCUCACUCACCAUUCAAGGAUUUACUCUUUGCACUAAUUUUCUUAUCGUAGAAUUUCACAGGUCUGAUAUGGUCCUUGGGAUAGUAUGGUUGCACACUUUAGGUCCUUGAGGUUAUUCCUCCACUUUCUCAUUUCAGUUGUAGUAGGAAGUUACUUCCUUGUUUCCAGAUGGGUGGUUAAUCCACCAGUAUUGUACAUUAUUUGCAUUUAGUGAAA